UGAUAGUAGUAAUUAUUUUUCUGUUAAAUUUGGUUCGUGAUGAAAUGUAGUACUUAGUUUGCAUUAAUUAUGGUUGAUUCCAUCCAAAUUUGAGCUUGUUUGUAUGUAAUUUGCAGGUUGAUGGUGCUAAAAUUUCUUGUGGAUUUGAACAAGAUACUUAAAUGAGCUUACAUUUCUUCAAAUUGUGAAUGGUUUAUGGAUGCAUCAAAGGGAAUACCCACAACAAUACAUCAAGAUAUUACCUGAAAUACACUAAUAAGCAAACACUAUUUGGUUGGAAGAUAGAAAAAUCAAUUCCAAGUGCAGUACAUAAGUCCCGAUUGGCCUUUAUAUUAAGAAACUCAAU
Coffea arabica (coffee) is the source of this 346-nucleotide non-coding RNA. The record is from RefSeq and is a predicted model, not a curated record. NCBI's taxonomy places the organism in Eukaryota, Viridiplantae, Streptophyta, Magnoliopsida, Gentianales, Rubiaceae.